UACGUAGGGUGCGAGCGUUAAUCGGAAUUACUGGGCGUAAAGCGUGCGCAGGCGGUUUCUUAAGCCAGAUGUGAAAUCCCCGGGCUUAACCUGGGAAUGGCAUUUGGAACUGGGAGACUAGAGUGUGUCAGAGGGGGGUGGAAUUCCACGUGUAGCAGUGAAAUGCGUAGAGAUGUGGAGGAACACCGAUGGCGAAGGCAGCCCCCUGGGAUAACACUGACGCUCAUGCACGAAAGCGUGGGGAGCAAACAGG
Molecule: ribosomal RNA, 253 nt
Filed under: uncultured bacterium
Lineage: Bacteria
Description: partial 16S ribosomal RNA
Rfam family: Bacterial small subunit ribosomal RNA
Source: RNAcentral